This 253-nucleotide ribosomal RNA is filed under the name uncultured bacterium. RNAcentral's name for it is "partial 16S ribosomal RNA". It matches the Rfam family "Bacterial small subunit ribosomal RNA", at positions 524 to 776 of the family's 1533-position model. The record is from RNAcentral.
GACGAACCGUGCGAACGUUAUUCGGAAUCACUGGGCUUAAAGGGCGCGUAGGCGGGCUCCCAAGUCCGCGGUGAAAUCCUCCAGCUUAACUGGAGAAGUGCCGUGGAUACUGGGAGUCUCGAGGAGGGUAGGGGCAUCUGGAACGUUGGGUGGAGCGGUGAAAUGCGUUGAUAUCCAACGGAACUCCGGUGGCGAAGGCGAGGUGCUGGACCCUUUCUGACGCUGAGGCGCGAAAGCCAGGGGAGCGAACGGG